UACAGAGGAUGCAAGCGUUGUUCGGAAUCACUGGGCGUAAAGCGCACGUAGGCGGAUCUUUAAGUCAGGGGUGAAAUCCCGAGGCUCAACCUCGGAACUGCCUUUGAUACUGGGGAUCUCGAGUCCGGGAGAGGUGAGUGGAACUGCGAGUGUAGAGGUGAAAUUCGUAGAUAUUCGCAAGAACACCAGUGGCGAAGGCGGCUCACUGGCCCGAUACUGACGCUGAGGCACGAAAGCGUGGGGAGCAAACAGG
Molecule: ribosomal RNA, 253 nt
Filed under: uncultured bacterium
Lineage: Bacteria
Description: partial 16S ribosomal RNA
Rfam family: Bacterial small subunit ribosomal RNA
Source: RNAcentral